AGGACCCCUGAUUUAAUUACUUAAUAUGGAACCAUUGUCCUGAAUAAGGAGCAUAGAUAAGAAUGAAGAGGAUAGCAGACUGAAUUUCUCUCUGAGAGGAGGAGUUUGCUAUUGCCAUUUUGGAACCACUGGUGCCAGUUUUCUUUAAACAUCGGGCCUUGCUUGCAAGCUCUACGGUUACGCCCAGUUUUUACAUGACACCCCAAGAC
This is a long non-coding RNA of Grammomys surdaster, 209 nucleotides long. RefSeq lists it as uncharacterized. NCBI's taxonomy places the organism in Eukaryota, Metazoa, Chordata, Mammalia, Rodentia, Muridae. The record is from RefSeq and is a predicted model, not a curated record. The transcript has 3 exons.